GAUGAACGCUGGCGGCGUGCCUAAUACAUGCAAGUCGAGCGAACAGACGAGGAGCUUGCUCCUCUGACGUUAGCGGCGGACGGGUGAGUAACACGUGGAUAACCUACCUAUAAGACUGGGAUAACUUCGGGAAACCGGAGCUAAUACCGGAUAUUAUAUUGAACCGCAUGGUUCAAUAGUGAAAGACGGUUUUGCUGUCACUUAUAGAUGGAUCCGCGCCGCAUUAGCUAGUUGGUAAGGUAACGGCUUACCAAGGCAACGAUGCGUAGCCGACCUGAGAGGGUGAUCGGCCACACUGGAACUGAGACACGGUCCAGACUCCUACGGGAGGCAGCAGUAGGGAAUCUUCCGCAAUGGGCGAAAGCCUGACGGAGCGACGCCGCGUGAGUGAUGAAGGUCUUCGGAUCGUAAAACUCUGUUAUUAGGGAAGAACAAAUGUGUAAGUAACUAUGCACGUCUUGACGGUACCUAAUCAGAAAGCCACGGCUAACUACGUG
RNAcentral lists this ribosomal RNA (497 nucleotides) under uncultured bacterium. RNAcentral describes it as "partial 16S ribosomal RNA". It matches the Rfam family "Bacterial small subunit ribosomal RNA", at positions 28 to 507 of the family's 1533-position model. The record is from RNAcentral.